Arabidopsis thaliana (thale cress) is the source of this 673-nucleotide long non-coding RNA. RefSeq annotates it as other RNA. Lineage: Eukaryota; Viridiplantae; Streptophyta; Magnoliopsida; Brassicales; Brassicaceae. The record is from RefSeq. The transcript has a single exon.
GUGUGCCUAUGCGUCAAUUCCCAUUUGCUCAGUAGUCCUCACGUAGGUAUACAUUUUUAAAAUUCCGUUUUUUGGUAUAGUUUCGUCCUUACGAUGGUUGCCGGUUUCCUUUUUUUUUUCUUUAGGUUUUACCAACCGAUUGUUUCGUUUCAUUGGUCGCAAUGUAUUUUAUAAAUUAUCCUUUUUCUAAGAUUUAAUAAACUCUCUUGUAUUUUUAUCUUCAUUUUGAAAUGAAAUAAAUAAUUGAAAAUGAGUGGUGUUGUUGCUUUGGUUUAUAGGUAGAGACAAAACGCAUCCAUGUCUCGUUUUAUGCUUUUCCAUCUCUUCAUUUGUGGCGAUGCGCUCUCUAUCUCUUUCUCUACGCCCUAAAAACUCUCUUGAUCAUGCAACUUUAUACGUAGAUUACUAUUAAAUUCUAUAGUUACUUUUUUUUUGUUCCCAAGUUAAUAUUAUAAAUACUCAGAAAAGGGAUCAACAUCGAGACCUUUUUGUUACAUUACUGUUAAUAGUUUAUAUUCUGAUGAACGACGCUACGUAUAUGAGUAUCUUUUGCACAUCCGUAGAGAGAGAAAAAGAGAGACAAAAGGACCCAACAUGCAAACAACAAGACACGAGCUUUCGGUUGCUUUCCACUUUCGUGAUUCUUCUUCUCUUGGGUAUGCUCAUGUCUUUU